Molecule: small RNA, 80 nt
Filed under: Foraminifera environmental sample
Lineage: Eukaryota; Foraminifera
Description: partial transfer-messenger RNA
Source: RNAcentral
GCCUCCAAUACCGAUAACAACAAAGACAAUGCGGUCGAACAAAAGUCGAAUAAGCAGAUCGAGCGCAAAUUGCAAGAGGA